RNAcentral lists this ribosomal RNA (461 nucleotides) under uncultured bacterium. RNAcentral describes it as "bacterial SSU rRNA". It matches the Rfam family "Bacterial small subunit ribosomal RNA", at positions 32 to 506 of the family's 1533-position model. The record is from RNAcentral.
AUCAACGCUGGCGGCGUGCCUAACACAUGCAAGUCGAACGAGAAAGGGGCUUCGGCCCUGAGUAAAGUGGCGGACGGGUGAGUAACACGUGGGUGAUCUGCCCUCCAGUGGGGGAUAACACACCGAAAGGUGUGCUAAUACCGCAUGGAGUUCCGGUUGUCAUGACCGGAAUGAAAGCAGCAAUGUGCUGGAGGAGGAGCCCGCGCCGGAUUAGCUAGUUGGUGGGGUAACGGCCCACCAAGGCUACGAUCCGUAGCCGGCCUGAGAGGGUGACCGGCCACACUGGAACUGAGACACGGUCCAGACUCCUACGGGAGGCAGCAGUGGGGAAUUUUGCGCAAUGGGGGAAACCCUGACGCAGCAACGCCGCGUGGACGAUGAAGGCCUUUGGGUCGUAAAGUCCUGUCAGCAGGGAAAAACAAAAUGAUGGUACCUGCAGAGGAAGCUCCGGCUAACUUCGU